UACAGAGGUCUCAAGCGUUGUUCGGAUUCAUUGGGCGUAAAGGGUGCGUAGGCGGCGCGGUAAGUCGGGUGUGAAAUCUUGGAGCUUAACUCCGAAACUGCAUUCGAUACUGCCGUGCUUGAGGACUGGAGAGGAGACUGGAAUUUACGGUGUAGCAGUGAAAUGCGUAGAUAUCGUAAGGAAGACCAGUGGCGAAGGCGGGUCUCUGGACAGUUCCUGACACUGAGGCACGAAGGCCAGGGGAGCAAACGGG
Molecule: ribosomal RNA, 253 nt
Filed under: uncultured bacterium
Lineage: Bacteria
Description: partial 16S ribosomal RNA
Rfam family: Bacterial small subunit ribosomal RNA
Source: RNAcentral